RNAcentral lists this ribosomal RNA (519 nucleotides) under uncultured eukaryote. Its description in RNAcentral is "SSU rRNA". It matches the Rfam family "Eukaryotic small subunit ribosomal RNA", at positions 1161 to 1699 of the family's 1831-position model. The record is from RNAcentral.
AGGGCACCACCAGGAGUGGAGCCUGCGGCUUAAUUUGACUCAACACGGGGAAACUUACCCAGCCUGGACACUGGAAGGAUUGACAGAUUGAGAGCUCUUUCUUGAUUCAGUGGGUGGUGGUGCAUGGCCGUUCUUAGUUGGUGGAGCGAUUUGUCUGGUUAAUUCCGAUAACGAACGAGACUCUAGCCUAUUAAAUAGGCUCUCGGCUUUUAAACGCCGGGAGGACUUCUUAGAGGGACAGGUGGCGGUUCAGCCGCACGAAAGAGAGCAAUAACAGGUCUGUGAUGCCCUUUGUUGUCCGGGGCCGCACGCGCGCUACACUGAAGAGAUCAGCGUGCUUUACGUUCCUGCUCCGACCGGAGUGGGGAACCCAGUGAACCUUCUUCGUGAUUGGGAUAGAAGAUUGUAAUUAUUCUUCUUGAACGAGGAAUUCCCAGUAAAUGCGAGUCAUAAGCUCGCGUUGAUUACGUCCCUGCCCUUUGUACACACCGCCCGUCGCUACUACCGAUUGAACGAUUU